This 279-nucleotide ribosomal RNA is filed under the name uncultured bacterium. RNAcentral's name for it is "partial 16S ribosomal RNA". It matches the Rfam family "Bacterial small subunit ribosomal RNA", at positions 506 to 784 of the family's 1533-position model. The record is from RNAcentral.
UGCCAGCAGCCGCGGUAAUACGGAGGGGGUUAGCGUUGUUCGGAAUUACUGGGCGUAAAGCGCGCGUAGGCGGAUUAGUCAGUCGGGGGUGAAAUCCCGGGGCUCAACCUCGGAACUGCAUUUGAAACUCCCAGUCUUGAGUUCGAGAGAGGUGAGUGGAACUCCGAGUGUAGAGGUGAAAUUCGUAGAUAUUCGGAAGAACACCAGUGGCGAAGGCGGCUUACUGGACCGGUACUGACGCUGAGGUACGAAAGCGUGGGGAGCGAACAGGAUUAGAUA